RNAcentral lists this transfer RNA (68 nucleotides) under Phryganopsyche latipennis. RNAcentral's name for it is "tRNA-Lys". The record is from RNAcentral. Lineage: Eukaryota; Metazoa; Arthropoda; Insecta; Trichoptera; Phryganopsychidae. RNAcentral also lists the same sequence under 1 other name.
CAUUAGAUAACUAAAUUUAAGUAAUGGUCUCUUAAACCGUCAAUAGUAUUUUUCCUUACUUCUAAUGA